This 253-nucleotide ribosomal RNA is filed under the name uncultured bacterium. Its description in RNAcentral is "partial 16S ribosomal RNA". It matches the Rfam family "Bacterial small subunit ribosomal RNA", at positions 524 to 776 of the family's 1533-position model. The record is from RNAcentral.
UACGGGGGGGGCAAGCGUUGUUCGGAAUUACUGGGCGGAAAGGGCUCGUAGGCGGCCAACUAAGUCGGAUGUGAAAUCCCCAGGCUCAACCUGGGAACUGCAUCCGAUACUGGAUGGCUUGAAUCCGGGAGAGGGAUGCAGAAUUCCAGGUGUAGCGGUGAAAUGCGUAGAUAUCUGGAGGAAUACCGGUGGCGAAGGCGGCAUCCUGGACCGGCAUUGACGCUGAGGAGCGAAAGCUAGGGGAGCAAACGGG